CGGGCAGGUGGUCCGCUAAGUCGUCUGUGAAAACCCGGGGCUCAACCCCGUGGAAUGCAGGCGAAACUGGCGGACUGGAGAUCGGUAGAGGCUAACGGAAUUCCUGGUGUAGCGGUGGAAUGCGUAGAUAUCAGGAAGAACACCAGUGGCGAAGGCGGUUAGCUGGGCCGAGUCUGGCACUCAUCCGCGAAAGCGUGGGGAGCAAACAGGAUUAGAUACCCUGGUAGUCC
RNAcentral lists this ribosomal RNA (230 nucleotides) under uncultured bacterium. RNAcentral's name for it is "partial 16S ribosomal RNA". It matches the Rfam family "Bacterial small subunit ribosomal RNA", at positions 568 to 796 of the family's 1533-position model. The record is from RNAcentral.